AGUGUAGGCGGUUGCCUAAGUCGGAUGUGAAAGCCCCGGGCUUAACCUGGGAAUUGCAUUCGAUACUGGGUGACUAGAGUUUGGUAGAGGUAAGUGGAAUUCCGGGUGUAGCGGUGAAAUGCGUAGAUAUCCGGAGGAACAUCAGUGGCGAAGGCGGCUUACUGGACCAAAACUGACGCUGAGGCUCGAAAGCGUGGGUAGCAAACA
This 207-nucleotide ribosomal RNA is filed under the name uncultured bacterium. RNAcentral describes it as "partial 16S ribosomal RNA". It matches the Rfam family "Bacterial small subunit ribosomal RNA", at positions 568 to 774 of the family's 1533-position model. The record is from RNAcentral.